This 1444-nucleotide ribosomal RNA is filed under the name uncultured Sunxiuqinia sp. Its description in RNAcentral is "bacterial SSU rRNA". It matches the Rfam family "Bacterial small subunit ribosomal RNA". The record is from RNAcentral. Lineage: Bacteria; Pseudomonadati; Bacteroidota; Bacteroidia; Marinilabiliales; Prolixibacteraceae.
AGGAUCCUGGCUCAGGAUGAACGCUAGCGGGAGCCUAACAUGCAAGUCGAACGGGAUUGGGAGCUUGCUCCCAUGAGAGUGGCGCACGGGUGAGUAACGCGUAUGCAACCUGCCUUUAACAGAGUAGCCCAUAGAAAUGUGGAUUAAUACCUCAUAGUUCUAUUAGAUCGCAUGAUUUGAUAGAUAAAGCUCCGGCGGUUAAGAUGGGCAUGCGUGACAUUAGCUAGUUGGUGAGGUAACGGCUCACCAAGGCGACGAUGUCUAGGGGUUCUGAGAGGAUGAUCCCCCACACUGGUACUGAGACACGGACCAGACUCCUACGGGAGGCAGCAGUGAGGAAUAUGGUCAAUGGGCGCAAGCCUGAACCAGCCAUCCCGCGUGCAGGAUGACGGCCCUAUGGGUUGUAAACUGCUUAUACACCAAGAAAAAUCCGAACGUGUUCGGACCCGACGGUAGUGUAUGAAUAAGCAUCGGCUAACUCCGUGCCAGCAGCCGCGUAAUACGAGGAUGCAAGCGUUAUCCGGAUUCAUUGGGUUUAAAGGGUGCGUAGGCGGCUUUUUAAGUCAGUGGUGAAAUCCUGUCGCUUAACGAUAGAUUGCCAUUGAUACUGAAAAGCUUGAGUACAAUUGAGGUAAGGGAAUGUGUAGUGUAGCGGUGAAAUGCUUAGAUAUUACACAGAACACCAAUUGCGAAGGCAGCUUACUAAACUGUUACUGACGCUGAUGCACGAAAGCGUGGGAGCGAACAGGAUUAGAUACCCUGGUAGUCCACGCCGUAAACGAUGAUCACUCGCUGUAUGCGAUACACAGUAUGCGGCCAAGCGAACAUUAAGUGAUCCACCUGGGGAGUACGAUCGCAAGGUUGAAACUCAAAGGAAUUGACGGGGGCCCGCACAAGCGGAGGAACAUGUGGUUUAAUUCGAUGAUACGCGAGGAACCUUACCUGGGCUUAAAUGUAGAGCGACAGCUUGUGAAAGCAGGCUUUCUUCGGACGAUCUACAAGGUGCUGCAUGGUUCGUCAGCUCGUGCCGUGAUGUCGGGUUAAGUCCCAUAACGAGCGCAACCCUUAUCGUUAGUUGCCAGGGUCAAGCCGGACUCUAGCGAGACUGCCACCGUAAGGUGUGAGGAAGGUGGGAUGACGUCAAAUCAGCACGGCCCUUAUGUCCAGGGCUACACACGUGUUACAAUGGCCGGUACAAGCAGCUACCCCGCGAGGGAUGCUAAUCUCUAAAGCCGGUCUCAGUUCGGAUCGAAGUCUGCAACCCGACUUCGUGAAGCUGGAUUCGCUAGUAAUCGCGCAUCAGCCAUGGCGCGGUGAAUACGUUCCCGGGCCUUUACACACCGCCCGUCAAACAAUGGAAGCUGGGGUACCUGAAGUCUGUAACCGCAAGGAGCGGCCUAGGGUAAACUAGUAACUGGUGUUAACGUAACAAGGUAACCGUAAC